GACGAACGCUGGCGGCGUGCCUAAUACAUGCAAGUAGAACGCUGAAGCUUGGUGCUUGCACCGAGCGGAUGAGUUGCGAACGGGUGAGUAACGCGUAGGUAACCUGCCUGGUAGCGGGGGAUAACUAUUGGAAACGAUAGCUAAUACCGCAUAAAAUGGAUUAUCGCAUGAUAAUCGAUUGAAAGGUGCAAAUGCAUCACUACCAGAUGGACCUGCGUUGUAUUAGCUAGUUGGUGGGGUAACGGCUCACCAAGGCGACGAUACAUAGCCGACCUGAGAGGGUGAUCGGCCACACUGGGACUGAGACACGGCCCAGACUCCUACGGGAGGCAGCAGUAGGGAAUCUUCGGCAAUGGACGGAAGUCUGACCGAGCAACGCCGCGUGAGUGAAGAAGGUUUUCGGAUCGUAAAGCUCUGUUGUAAGAGAAGAACGAGUGUGAGAGUGGAAAGUUCACACUGUGACGGUAUCUUACCAGAAAGGGACGGCUAACUACGUGCCAGCAGCCGCGGUAAUACGUAGGUCCCGAGCGUUGUCCGGAUUUAUUGGGCGUAAAGCGAGCGCAGGCGGUUAGAUAAGUCUGAAGUUAAAGGCUGUGGCUUAACCAUAGUACGCUUUGGAAACUGUUUAACUUGAGUGCAAGAGGGGAGGGUGGAAUUCCAUGUGUAGCGGUGAAAUGCGUAGAUAUAUGGAGGAACACCGGUGGCGAAAGCGGCUCUCUGGCUUGUAACUGACGCUGAGGCUCGAAAGCGUGGGGAGCAAACAGG
RNAcentral lists this ribosomal RNA (765 nucleotides) under uncultured Streptococcus sp. Its description in RNAcentral is "bacterial SSU rRNA". It matches the Rfam family "Bacterial small subunit ribosomal RNA", at positions 28 to 776 of the family's 1533-position model. The record is from RNAcentral. Lineage: Bacteria; Bacillati; Bacillota; Bacilli; Lactobacillales; Streptococcaceae.